This 278-nucleotide ribosomal RNA is filed under the name uncultured Alistipes sp. RNAcentral's name for it is "partial 16S ribosomal RNA". It matches the Rfam family "Bacterial small subunit ribosomal RNA", at positions 511 to 788 of the family's 1533-position model. Lineage: Bacteria; Pseudomonadati; Bacteroidota; Bacteroidia; Bacteroidales; Rikenellaceae. The record is from RNAcentral.
GCAGCCGCGGUAAUACGGAGGAUCCAAGCGUUAUCCGGAUUUAUUGGGUUUAAAGGGUGCGUAGGCGGACUAGUAAGUUAGAGGUGAAAGCUCGGGGCUCAACUCCGGAACUGCCUCUGAUACUGCUAAUCUAGAGAGUAGAUGCGGUAGGCGGAAUGUAUGGUGUAGCGGUGAAAUGCUUAGAGAUCAUACAGAACACCGAUUGCGAAGGCAGCUUACCAAACUAUGUCUGACGUUGAGGCACGAAAGCGUGGGGAGCAAACAGGAUUAGAUACCCC